RNAcentral lists this transfer RNA (71 nucleotides) under Candidatus Omnitrophota bacterium. Its description in RNAcentral is "tRNA-Thr". It matches the Rfam family "tRNA". From Rfam's summary of the family: Transfer RNA (tRNA) molecules are approximately 80 nucleotides in length. Their secondary structure includes four short double-helical elements and three loops (D, anti-codon, and T loops). Further hydrogen bonds mediate the characteristic L-shaped molecular structure. tRNAs have two regions of fundamental functional importance: the anti-codon, which is responsible for specific mRNA codon recognition, and the 3' end, to which the tRNAs corresponding amino acid is attached (by aminoacyl-tRNA synthetases). tRNAs cope with the degeneracy of the genetic code in two manners: having more than one tRNA (with a specific anti-codon) for a particular amino acid; and 'wobble' base-pairing, i.e. permitting non-standard base-pairing at the 3rd anti-codon position. Lineage: Bacteria; Pseudomonadati; Candidatus Omnitrophota. The record is from RNAcentral.
GCCUUUGUGGUUCAGUGGUUGAACGCAGUCUUGGUGAGACUGAGGCCCAAGUUCGAUUCUUGGCUAAGGCU